This 253-nucleotide ribosomal RNA is filed under the name uncultured bacterium. RNAcentral's name for it is "partial 16S ribosomal RNA". It matches the Rfam family "Bacterial small subunit ribosomal RNA", at positions 524 to 776 of the family's 1533-position model. The record is from RNAcentral.
UACGUAGGGUGCGAGCGUUAAUCGGAAUUACUGGGCGUAAAGAGUGCGUAGGCGGUUCGUUAAGUCAGCUGUGAAAGCCCCGGGCUCAACCUGGGAACUGCGGUUGAAACUGGCGAACUAGAAUCUGGCGGAGGGGGGUGGAAUUCCACGUGUAGCAGUGAAAUGCGUAGAGAUGUGGAGGAACACCGAUGGCGAAGGCAGCCCCCUGGGCUGAGAUUGACGCUCAGGCACGAAAGCGUGGGGAGCAAACAGG